CAGGGAAUCUUCGGCAAUGGGGGGAACCCUGACCGAGCAACGCCGCGUGAGUGAAGAAGGUUUUCGGAUCGCAAAGCUCUGUUGUUAAGGAAGAACGAGUGUGGGAAUGGAAAGUUCAUACUGUGACGGUACUUAACCAGAAAGGGACGGCUAACUACGUGCCAGCAGCCGCGGUAAUACGUAGGUCCCGAGCGUUGUCCGGAUUUAUUGGGCGUAAAGCGAGCGCAGGCGGUUAGAUAAGUCUGAAGUUAAAGGCAGUGGCUCAACCAUUGUAGGCUUUGGAGACUGUUUAACUUGAGUGCAGAAGGGGAGAGUGGAAUUCCAUGUGUAGCGGUGAAAUGCGUAGAUAUAUGGAGGAACACCGGUGGCGAAAGCGGCUCUCUGGUCUGUAACUGACGCUGAGGCUCGAAAGCGUGGGGAGCGAACAGGAUUAGAUACCCUGGUAGUCCACGCCGUAACGAUGAGUGCUAGGUGUUAGGUCCUUUCCGGGACUUAGUGCCGCAGCUAACGCAUUAAGCACUCCGCCUGGGGAGUACGACCGCAAGGUU
This 548-nucleotide ribosomal RNA is filed under the name uncultured bacterium. RNAcentral's name for it is "bacterial SSU rRNA". It matches the Rfam family "Bacterial small subunit ribosomal RNA", at positions 355 to 895 of the family's 1533-position model. The record is from RNAcentral.